CCUACGGGGGGCAGCAGUGAGGAAUAUUGGUCAAUGGGCGGAAGCCUGAACCAGCCAAGUAGCGUGCAGGAUGACGGCCCUACGGGUUGUAAACUGCUUUUAUACGGGAAUAACGCGCCUUACGUGUAGGGCUUUGCAUGUACCGUAUGAAUAAGGACCGGCUAAUUCCGUGCCAGCAGCCGCGGUAAGACGGAAGGUCCGGGCGUUAUCCGGAUUUAUUGGGUGUAAGGGGAGCGUAGGCCGCAUGUCAAGCGUGCUGUGAAAUGUCCGGGCUCAACCCGGGCAUUGCAGCGCGAACGGGUGUGCUUGAGGCGGCGGAAAGCAGGCGGAAUUCGUCGUGUAGCGGUGAAAUGCUUAGAUAUGACGAAGAACCCCGAUUGCGAAGGCAGCUUGCUGCAGCGGAACUGACGCUGAUGCUCGAAAGCGCGGGUAUCGAACAGGAUUAGAUACCCCAGUAGUC
This 460-nucleotide ribosomal RNA is filed under the name uncultured bacterium. Its description in RNAcentral is "partial 16S ribosomal RNA". It matches the Rfam family "Bacterial small subunit ribosomal RNA", at positions 338 to 795 of the family's 1533-position model. The record is from RNAcentral.